UGGUGCAGUCGCUGCACUCACGCCAUGUUUCUGCUCUGCGAAGCACACCGGAUCAGGGCAGCGAAUCGGCCAAUCAGAGAGAGCUCGCCCUGGACAUCCUGGCUCAGAUCGCGCAUGCUUUCGAUUUCCCAGACCUCCACCGCUUCCUCACUAGGACCCUCCAGGUGCUCUUGCCCUACCUGGCGGCCAAAGCGAGCUCUACAGGCUCCGCCCUCAUCCGUACGCUGGCCAAUGAGCUGAAGGCAAACAGGAGAGAGAUCCUGAUCAAUAACUUCAAAUACAUCUUCAGCCACCUGGUCUGCUCCUGCACUAAAGAAGAGCUAGAGAGGGCCUUCCACUACCUACAGAGUGAGACAGAGAUUGAACUCGGCUCUCUGUUAAGACAAGACUUCCAGGGUCUUCACAACGAGCUGCUGCUGCGCCUGGGAGAACACUACCAA
Notothenia coriiceps (black rockcod) is the source of this 440-nucleotide long non-coding RNA. RefSeq lists it as uncharacterized. Lineage: Eukaryota; Metazoa; Chordata; Actinopteri; Perciformes; Nototheniidae. The record is from RefSeq and is a predicted model, not a curated record. The transcript has 3 exons.